GACGUAGGGGGCAAGCGUUGUCCGGAAUCAUUGGGCGUAAAGCGCUCGUAGGUGGAUCAGUAAGUCUGCAAAGAAAGACCUGGGCUCAACUCAGGGAACGGUGUGGAUACUAUUGAUCUUGAGGCAAUCAGAGGAUGAUGGAAUUCCCGGUGUAGCGGUGAAAUGCGUAGAUAUCGGAAGGAACGCCGGUGGCGAAAGCGACGUGCUGGACCUCAACUGACGCUGAGGCGCGAAAGCUAGGGGAGCAAACGGG
Molecule: ribosomal RNA, 253 nt
Filed under: uncultured bacterium
Lineage: Bacteria
Description: partial 16S ribosomal RNA
Rfam family: Bacterial small subunit ribosomal RNA
Source: RNAcentral